UACAGAGGGGGCAAGCGUUAUUCGGAAUUAUUGGGCGUAAAGGGCGCGUAGGCGGCCUGGCAAGUGACGGGUGAAAGCCCUCGGCUCAACCGAGGAACUGCCUGUCAUACUGCCGGGCUUGAGUCCGGGAGAGGUGACUGGAAUUCCUGGUGUAGCGGUGGAAUGCGCAGAUAUCAGGAGGAACACCGGUGGCGAAGGCGGGUCUCUGGGAAGAUACUGACGCUGAGGUGCGAAAGCGUGGGGAGCAAACAGG
This 253-nucleotide ribosomal RNA is filed under the name uncultured bacterium. RNAcentral's name for it is "partial 16S ribosomal RNA". It matches the Rfam family "Bacterial small subunit ribosomal RNA", at positions 524 to 776 of the family's 1533-position model. The record is from RNAcentral.